Cyprinus carpio carpio is the source of this 376-nucleotide long non-coding RNA. The record is from Ensembl. Lineage: Eukaryota; Metazoa; Chordata; Actinopteri; Cypriniformes; Cyprinidae.
UGAUCAGUGAUAUUUAUCUGCUCUACAGCGGCUGUUAUGUGUAUCAAGUGGUGUAAUGUAGUUUGACACUGUGGCACAACGCUCACAUCUCCGCUUCUGGAGUGGGGCUCAGGAACCCUGCUUUCGUGCUGUUGAAUACAUUUUCUCAAUUACCAACGUUAAAUGAGGAGCGGCACUGGUCUCCACGGUCGUCUGUCUCAGCCUGUGCUGCUGAUUCAAGCAGCUUGUGCUCCACCACAGACUGUGUUUCCCAUGGUGUGUCUGAAUCUCUGCUGUUCUUCCUGUGGUGGACAUGCAGCUGCUGUGGAGUUGUUCUCAAACUGAUGGUGAAUUAGGAGAUUUUUCUCUCGGAGCUCCAGAUACUUACACGUUACUA